RNAcentral lists this ribosomal RNA (253 nucleotides) under uncultured bacterium. RNAcentral's name for it is "partial 16S ribosomal RNA". It matches the Rfam family "Bacterial small subunit ribosomal RNA", at positions 524 to 776 of the family's 1533-position model. The record is from RNAcentral.
UACGAAGGGGGCUAGCGUUGCUCGGAAUCACUGGGCGUAAAGGGCGCGUAGGCGGACUUUUAAGUCGGGGGUGAAAGCCCAGGGCUCAACCCUGGAAUUGCCUUCGAUACUGAGAGUCUUGAGUUCGGAAGAGGUUGGUGGAACUGCGAGUGUAGAGGUGAAAUUCGUAGAUAUUCGCAAGAACACCAGUGGCGAAGGCGGCCAACUGGUCCGAUACUGACGCUGAGGCGUGAAAGCGUGGGGAGCAAACAGG